GACGAACGCUGGCGGCGUGCCUGACACAUGCAAGUCGGACGGUUCUUGUAUCUUCAAGCUUGCUUGCAGGUGCAAGGAUAGUGGCGGACGGGUGAGUAACGCGUGAACAUCUACCCAUUGGAGGGGGACAACCCGUCGAAAGGCGGGCUAAUACCGCGUAAGCCGCGAGGUGAGAGGCUGCCUAUUGGUGGCCGCCGAUGGAUGGGUUCGCGUCCUAUCAGCUGGUUGGUGGGGUAACGGCCUACCAAGGCGAAGACGGGUAGCCGGUCUGAGAGGAUGGCCGGCCACACUGGAACUGAGACACGGACCAGACUCCUACGGGAGGCAGCAGUGAGGAAUAUUGGUCAAUGGGCGCAAGCCUGAACCAGCCAUCCCGCGUGAAGGAAGAAUGCGCUACGCGUUGUAAACUUCUUUUCCAGGGGGAGAAUAAUCCUGUCGUGACAGGACUUGACGGUACUCUGGGAAUAAGCAUCGGCUAACUCCGUGCCAGCAGCCGAC
RNAcentral lists this ribosomal RNA (498 nucleotides) under uncultured bacterium. Its description in RNAcentral is "bacterial SSU rRNA". It matches the Rfam family "Bacterial small subunit ribosomal RNA", at positions 28 to 518 of the family's 1533-position model. The record is from RNAcentral.